UUCCUCCUCUACAGGAUCUUCCCAACCCAAGGAUUGAACUUGUGUCUCCUGAGGCUCCUGCAUUGCAGUUUAGAGAACCCUGUGUGGCUUCCACCUCAGACACCACUGACUGUGAACGAGGCUGUUGGGCGUGUGAUAGACCAACAUCAAAAGAAAGCAUGUGGGAGUAAAGCAGAGCGAGUCAAAGUCAUCACAGUAACGCAUGCUGACUGCACAUGUCUUGACUGGAGGUUGGCUUUUGCUUUUCCAAAGGGUAUAUUUCCAAUGGUA
This is a long non-coding RNA of Bubalus bubalis (water buffalo), 270 nucleotides long. RefSeq lists it as uncharacterized. Lineage: Eukaryota; Metazoa; Chordata; Mammalia; Artiodactyla; Bovidae. The record is from RefSeq and is a predicted model, not a curated record. The transcript is spliced from 3 exons.